AUUGAACGCUGGCGGCAUGCUUUACACAUGCAAGUCGAACGGUAGAGGGGGCAACCCCUUGAGAGUGGCGAACGGGUGAGUAAUGCAUCGGAACGCCCAGUCGUGGGGGAUAACGCAGCGAAAGCUGUGCUAAUACCGCAUACGAUCUCUGGAUGAAAGCGGGGGACCGAAAGGCCUCGCGCGAUUGGAGCGGCCGAUGUCAGCUUAGGUAGUUGGUGGGGUAAAGGCUCACCAAGCCAACGAUGUGUAGCUGGUCUGAGAGGACGACCAGCCACACUGGGACUGAGGCCGAGCCCAGACUCCUACGGGAGGCAGAAGUGGGGAAUUUUGGACAAUGGGCGCAAGCCUGAUCCAGCAAUGCCGCGUGCAGGAAGAAGGCCUUCGGGUUGUAAACUGCUUUUGUACGGAACGAAAAGGUCUGGGUUAAUACCCUGGGCACAUGACGGUACCGUAAGAAUAAGCACCGGCUAACUACGUGCCAGCCGCCGCCGUAA
RNAcentral lists this ribosomal RNA (494 nucleotides) under uncultured bacterium. RNAcentral's name for it is "partial 16S ribosomal RNA". It matches the Rfam family "Bacterial small subunit ribosomal RNA", at positions 29 to 523 of the family's 1533-position model. The record is from RNAcentral.